AGAUUGAACGCUGGCGGCAUGCCUAACACAUGCAAGUCGAACGGGAGUAGCAAUACUCUAGUGGCGGACGGGUGAGGAAUACGUAGGAAUUUGCCCUUAAGUGGGGGAUAACCCGGGGAAACCCGGAUUAAUACCGCAUGACCUCGAAAGAGCAAAGUGGGGGAUCGCAAGACCUCACGCUUUUGGAGAAGCCUACGUCGGAUUAGCUAGUUGG
RNAcentral lists this ribosomal RNA (214 nucleotides) under uncultured soil bacterium. RNAcentral's name for it is "partial 16S ribosomal RNA". It matches the Rfam family "Bacterial small subunit ribosomal RNA", at positions 26 to 252 of the family's 1533-position model. The record is from RNAcentral.